RNAcentral lists this ribosomal RNA (380 nucleotides) under uncultured eukaryote. RNAcentral describes it as "partial 18S ribosomal RNA". It matches the Rfam family "Eukaryotic small subunit ribosomal RNA", at positions 592 to 976 of the family's 1831-position model. The record is from RNAcentral.
CAAUAGCGUAUAUUAAAGUUGUUGCAGUUAAAAAGCUCGUAGUUGGAUUUGUGGCGUACGGUGUGUUCCGGGCACUUGUUGUCUGAGUAACCUGCUGUUGCCAUCCUUGGGUGGAACCUGUGUGGCAUUAGGUUGUCGUGCAGGGGAUGCCCAUCAUUUACUGUGAAAAAAUUAGAGUGUUCAAAGCAGGCUUAUGCCGUUGAAUAUAUUAGCAUGGAAUAAGGAGAUAGGACUUUUUUGCUAUUUUGUUGGUUUGCGCAAAGAGGUAAUGAUUAAUAGGGACAGUUGGGGGUAUUCGUAUUCCAUUGUCAGAGGUGAAAUUCUUGGAUUUUUGGAAGACGAACUACUGCGAAAGCAUUUACCAAGGAUGUUUUCAUUAA